Molecule: ribosomal RNA, 253 nt
Filed under: uncultured bacterium
Lineage: Bacteria
Description: partial 16S ribosomal RNA
Rfam family: Bacterial small subunit ribosomal RNA
Source: RNAcentral
UACAGAGACUGCAAGCGUUAUUCGGAUUCACUGGGCGUAAAGGGUGCGCAGGCGGCCGUGUGUGUGAGGCGUGAAAGCCCGGGGCUUAACCCCGGAAUUGCACCUCAAACUACAUGGCUAGAGCAUUGGAGAGGGUAGCGGAAUUCACGGUGUAGCAGUGAAAUGCGUAGAUAUCGUGAGGAUCACCAGAGGCGAAGGCGGCUACCUGGACAAUUGCUGACGCUCAGGCACGAAAGCGUGGGGAGCAAAAGGG